RNAcentral lists this ribosomal RNA (317 nucleotides) under Tectocepheus sp. TspM7_N. RNAcentral's name for it is "partial large subunit ribosomal RNA". It matches the Rfam family "Eukaryotic large subunit ribosomal RNA", at positions 666 to 944 of the family's 3401-position model. Lineage: Eukaryota; Metazoa; Arthropoda; Arachnida; Sarcoptiformes; Tectocepheidae. The record is from RNAcentral. RNAcentral also lists the same sequence under 9 other names.
CCAAGGAGUCUAACAUGUGCGCGAGUCACUCGGUCUUGAUUAGGCCAGAGAGGCGCAAUGAAAGUAAAGCUUGUUAAGUUACGAUCUCCAUGCCAGUUAUCCUUCAUUGGGUAACGGUGGAGCGCAGUAACAGCCCGCUAAUUCCGCUUAUUGACGGUCUAGCGGAGUUAUAGCGUACACGUUGGUACCCGAAAGAUGGUGAACUAUGCCUGGGCAAGACGAAGCCAGAGGAAACUCUGGUGGAGGUCUGUAGCGAUUCUGACGUGCAAAUCGAUCGUCAGACCUGGGUAUAGGGGCGAAAGACUAAUCGAACCAUC